Molecule: transfer RNA, 77 nt
Filed under: Herbiconiux daphne
Lineage: Bacteria; Bacillati; Actinomycetota; Actinomycetes; Micrococcales; Microbacteriaceae
Description: tRNA-Pro
Rfam family: tRNA
About the family: Transfer RNA (tRNA) molecules are approximately 80 nucleotides in length. Their secondary structure includes four short double-helical elements and three loops (D, anti-codon, and T loops).
Source: RNAcentral
CGGCGUGUAGCGCAGUUUGGCAGCGCAACUGCUUUGGGAGCAGUGGGUCGCAGGUUCGAAUCCUGCCACGCCGACCA